This 202-nucleotide unclassified non-coding RNA is filed under the name Hevea brasiliensis (rubber tree). Lineage: Eukaryota; Viridiplantae; Streptophyta; Magnoliopsida; Malpighiales; Euphorbiaceae. The record is from RNAcentral.
CUAGAGGCCUUAAAAAUUGCAAAAAGCACCUCAUGCUGCUGGUGGAUUUGUGUCAGGUGAGCAUGCACUUCUCAAUUCCACAAUUAACGAUUUUCCCAUUAUAAAUGACAAAAUAUUAAUUGUGUUUAGCUCUGAAUGUUGAAUGCAUACCAGUAAACUUAUAAAUUUUGGCAAUGUAUUUUGAUACUAAUAACAAUUGUGG